UGCUUAGGCCACACGAUAGACUGCUUCCU
Molecule: non-coding RNA, 29 nt
Filed under: Rattus norvegicus (Norway rat)
Lineage: Eukaryota; Metazoa; Chordata; Mammalia; Rodentia; Muridae
Source: RNAcentral